AUUGAACGCUGGCGGCAUGCCUUACACAUGCAAGUCGAACGGCAGCACGGGAGCUUGCUCCUGGUGGCGAGUGGCGAACGGGUGAGUAAUACAUCGGAACGUACCCUGAAGUGGGGGAUAACGUAGCGAAAGUUACGCUAAUACCGCAUAUUCUGUGAGCAGGAAAGAGGGGGAUCGCAAGACCUCUUGCUUUAGGAGCGGCCGAUGUCGGAUUAGCUAGUUGGUGAGGUAAAGGCUCACCAAGGCGACGAUCCGUAGCGGGUCUGAGAGGAUGAUCCGCCACACUGGGACUGAGACACGGCCCAGACUCCUACGGGAGGCAGCAGUGGGGAAUUUUGGACAAUGGGCGCAAGCCUGAUCCAGCCAUGCCGCGUGAGUGAAGAAGGCCUCGGUUGUAAA
RNAcentral lists this ribosomal RNA (399 nucleotides) under uncultured bacterium. RNAcentral's name for it is "bacterial SSU rRNA". It matches the Rfam family "Bacterial small subunit ribosomal RNA", at positions 30 to 429 of the family's 1533-position model. The record is from RNAcentral.